UACAGAGGUCUCAAGCGUUGUUCGGAUUCAUUGGGCGUAAAGGGUGCGUAGGUGGCAAGGUAAGUCGGGUGUGAAAUCCUGGGGCUCAACCCCGGAACUGCACUCGAUACUGCCCUGCUCGAGUACUGGAGAGGAGACUGGAAUUUACGGUGUAGCAGUGAAAUGCGUAGAUAUCGUAAGGAAGACCAGUGGCGAAGGCGGGUCUCGGGACAGUUCCUGACGCUGAGGCACGAAGGCCAGGGGAGCAAACGGG
Molecule: ribosomal RNA, 253 nt
Filed under: uncultured bacterium
Lineage: Bacteria
Description: partial 16S ribosomal RNA
Rfam family: Bacterial small subunit ribosomal RNA
Source: RNAcentral